UUUCUGCAACUAGAUGGUCCCAUCUGGGGGUGAUGGGAGACAGUGACAGAUCAUCAGGCAUUAGAUUCUCAUAAGGAGUGUGCAACCUAGAUCCCUUGCAUACGCAGUUCACAAUUCUCCUAUGAGAAUCUAAUGCCGCCAUUAAUCUGACAGGAGGUGGAUCUCAGGCAGUAAUACAAGCAACGGGGAGUGGCUGUAAAUACAGCAGAAGCUUCGCUUGCCCCACUGCUCACCUCCUUUUUUGUGGCCCAGUUCCUAACAGGCCACAGAUCAGUGCCAGUUCAUAGCCCAGGGGUCACGGACCCCUGCUCUAGGUUGUGCGGCCCUGUUUUCUGAGUGUCCAGGAAAGGGGCUGGAGUUGGGGCGGAAGGAGUGGGGGAAGCUGGAAUCAUGGGCUGCACUGUUUUCAGCCUGGAGAAGAGGCUGUCCACAGAAGGGAAAAGGGAUUUCUCACCCUUGAAAAUAUCUCAGUUGCAGCCUGGAUGUCUAACACCCGGGAACAUCCCUGGCUGCUCUGACCUUAGAUCUGGAACUAAGGCUUCGUGCAAUGCCUCCCCAGCUUCCUUCCCCAGACCCAGCUCUUGCUGACAGCAACUAGAAACACAGCCCAAUUCCACAUUCAAGGAGCAUGGGAGCUAUGGGCCCACGUGCAUCAGGAUGGGUGAACAGAAGUGGGUGGGGCUGUGGAGAUGAGGUGGGAGAGGGGCGUGGGCAGAUCAUGGAAGGAACUGUCAGCCUGGGGAACAUGUGGAUUUUACAAACAGCAGGCAGUGGAGAGCCCUUGACAGGUAGAGGGGAAGCUCAAACUGGGUGGAGCCCACCACAACUCAAGGAGGCCUGCCUGCCUCUAUAGGCUCCACCUCUGGGAGCAGGGCACAGACAAACAAAAAGACAGCAAUAACCUCUGCAGACUUAAAUGUCCCUGUCUGACAGCUUUGAAGAGAGUAGUGGUUCUCCCAGCACGCAGCUGGAGAUCUGAGAAUGGGUAGACUGCCUCCUCAAGUGGGUCCUUGACCCCUGAGCAGCCUAACUGGGAGGCACCGCCCAGUAGGGGCAGACUGACACCUCACACGGCCGGGUACUCCUCUGAGACAAAACUUCCAGAGGAACCAUCAGGCAGCAGCAUUUGCGGUUCACCAAGAUCCGCUGUUAUACAGCGACCACUGUUCUGCAGCCACCGCUGCUGAUACCCAGGCAAACAGGGUCUAGAGUGGACCUCUAGCAAACUCUGGGAAAACUGGCUAACCAUAUGUAGAAAGCUGAAACUGGAUCCCUUCCUCACACCUUAUACAAAAAUCAAUUCAAGAUGGAUUAAAGACUUAAACGUUAGACCUAAAACCAUAAAAACCCUAGAAGAAAACCUAGGCAAUACCAUUCAGGACAUAGGCAUGGGCAAGGACUUCAUGGCUAAAACACCAAAAGCGAUGGCAACAAAAGACAAAAUUGACAAAUGGGAUCUAAUUAAACUAAAGAGCUUCUGCACAGCAAAAGAAACUACCAUCAGAGUGAACAGGCAACCUACAAAAUGGGAGAAAAUUUUUGCAACUCAAAACCACAAUGAGAUACCAUCUCACACCAGUUAGAAUGGCGAUCAUUAAAAAGUCAGGAAACAACAGGUGCUGGAGAGGAUGUGGAGAAAUAGGAACACUUUUACACUGUUGGUGGGACUGUAAACUAGUUCAACCAUUGUGGAAGUCAGUGUGGCGAUUCCUCAGGGAUCUAGAACUAGAAAUACCAUUUGACUCAGCCAUCUCAUUACUGGGUAUAGACCCGAAGGAUUACAAAUCAUGCUGCUAUAAAGACACAUGCACACAUAUGUUUACUGCAGCACUAUUCACAAUAGCAAAGACUUAGAACCAACCCAAAUGUCCAACAACGAUAGACUGGAUUAAGAAAAUAUGGCACAUAUACACCAUGGAAUACUAUGCAGCCAUAAAAAAUGAAGAGUUCAUGUCCUUUGUAGGGACAUGGAUGAAACUGGAAACCAUCAUUCUCAGCAAACUAUUGCAAGCACAAAAAACCAAACACCACAUGUUCUCACUUAUAGGUG
Molecule: long non-coding RNA, 2050 nt
Filed under: Homo sapiens (human)
Lineage: Eukaryota; Metazoa; Chordata; Mammalia; Primates; Hominidae
Description: non-protein coding lnc-ZCCHC17-16:1
Source: RNAcentral